CCCCACUGCUAUCGGGAUAGGACUAAGACAUGCUAGUCGAGUGACUCAGGCAAAACGAGUCACGGCACACAGCUCAGUAACACGUGGCUAAUCUGCCCUUGGGACUAGAACAACCCCGGGAAACUGGGGCUAAAUCUGGAUAGGUGAAGAACUCUGGAAUGAGUUUUCGCCUAAAUAGGUUCACGUUAUCCUCGUGAACUUGCCCAAGGAUGAGGCCGCGACCGAUCAGGUUGUUGGUGAGGUAAUGGCUCACCAAGCCUUUUACCGGUGCGGGCCGUGGGAGCGGGAGCCCGGAGAUGGGUACUGAGACAAGGACCCAGGCCCUACGGGGCGCAGCAGUCGCGAAACCUUUGCAAUACACGAAAGUGUGACAGGGCUAUCCCGAGUGCCAUCCGCUGAGGAAGGCUUUUACCCAGUCUAGAAAGCUGGGGGAAUAAGGAGAGGGCAAGUCUGGUGUCAGCCGCCGCGGUAAUACCAGCUCUCCGAGUGGUGUGGAUGUUUAUUGGGCCUAAAGCAUCCGUAGCUGGCUAGGUAAGUCCCUUGUUAAAUCCACCGAAUUAAUCGUUGGAUCGCGGGGGAUACUGCUUGGCUAGGGGACGAGAGAGGCAGACGGUAUUUUCGGGGUAGGGGUGAAAUCCUAUAAUCCCGGGAAGACCACCAGUGGCGAAGGCUGUCUGCUAGAACGCGCCCGACGGUGAGGGAUGAAAGCUGGGGGAGCGAACCGGAUUAGAUACCCGGGUAGUCCCAGCUGUAAACGAUGCAGACUAGGUGUUUGGACGGCCACGUGCCGUUCUAGUGCCGCAGGGAAGCUGUUAAGUCUGCCGCCUGGGGAGUACGAUCGCAAGAUUGAAACUUAAAGGAAUUGGCGGGGGAGCACCACAAGGGGUGAAGCUUGCGGUUU
This 901-nucleotide ribosomal RNA is filed under the name uncultured archaeon. RNAcentral's name for it is "bacterial SSU rRNA". It matches the Rfam family "Archaeal small subunit ribosomal RNA", at positions 21 to 903 of the family's 1478-position model. The record is from RNAcentral.